UCAGCUUUCGAAAUAUAGAAGCUCCAUUCUUCCUGAGCAUGUGCAAAUGUUGAUUUGUACUCAAAAUUGGCUAUAUGGAUUUUCUAAAAAUCCUAACUAUGAAAUUGUUGAAGAUAUUUUUGGUCAUGAGGGAAUUGAUGAGUCUAAACUUUUAGAAGAUGUUGAAAGUCUUCAACAUU
Vigna umbellata (rice bean) is the source of this 179-nucleotide non-coding RNA. The record is from RefSeq and is a predicted model, not a curated record. Lineage: Eukaryota; Viridiplantae; Streptophyta; Magnoliopsida; Fabales; Fabaceae.